RNAcentral lists this unclassified non-coding RNA (359 nucleotides) under soil metagenome. Its description in RNAcentral is "partial contains 5.8S ribosomal RNA, internal transcribed spacer 2, and large subunit ribosomal RNA". The stretch from base 1 to 121 matches the Rfam family "5.8S ribosomal RNA", at positions 35 to 154 of the family's 154-position model. The record is from RNAcentral.
GAUGAAGAACGUAGCGAAAUGCGAUAAGUAAUGCGAAUUGCAGAAUUCCAGUGAAUCAUCGAAUCUUUGAACGCACAUUGCGCCCGUCAGUAUUCUGGCGGGCAUGCCUGUUCGAGCGUCAUUACGCCCCUCAAGUCCCCUGUGGACUUGGUGUUGGGGAUCGGCGAGGCUGGUUUUCCAGCACAGCCGUCCCUUAAAUUAAUUGGCGGUCUCGCCGUGGCCCUCCUCUGCGCAGUAGUAAAACACUCGCAACAGGAGCCCGGCGCGGUCCACUGCCGUAAAACCCCCCAACUUUUUAUAGUUGACCUCGAAUCAGGUAGGACUACCCGCUGAACUUAAGCAUAUCAAUAAGCGGAGGA